This 148-nucleotide non-coding RNA is filed under the name Nomascus leucogenys (northern white-cheeked gibbon). Lineage: Eukaryota; Metazoa; Chordata; Mammalia; Primates; Hylobatidae. The record is from Rfam by way of RNAcentral.
GCCAGGUGUGGUGGCGCACGCCUGUAGUCCCAGCUAUUUGGGAGGCUGAGGCAGAAGAAUUGCUUGAACCUGGGAGAUGGAGGUUGCAGUGAGCCGAGAUCACGCCACUGCACUCCAGCCUAGGCGACAGAGCAAGACUCUGUCUCAA